GACGAACGCUGGCGGCGUGCUUAACACAUGCAAGUCGAACGGAAAGGCCCUGCUUUUGUGGGGUGCUCGAGUGGCGAACGGGUGAGUAACACGUGAGUAACCUGCCCUUGACUUUGGGAUAACUUCAGGGAACUGGGGCUAAUACCGGAUAGGAGCUCCUGCUGCAUGGUGGGGGUUGGAAAGUUUCGGCGGUUGUGGAUGGACUCGCGGCUUAUCAGCUUGUUGGUGGGGUAGUGGCUUACCAAGGCUUUGACGGGUAGCCGGCCUGAGAGGGUGACCGGCCACAUUGGGACUGAGAGACGGCCCAGACUCCUACGGGAGGCAGCAGUGGGGAAUAUUGCACAAUGGGCGGAAGCCUGAUGCAGCAACGCCGCGUGCGGGAUGACGGCCUUCGGGUUGUAAACCGCUUUCGCCGGUGACGAAGCGUGAGUGACGGUAAUGGGUAAGGAAGCACCGGCUAACUACGUG
RNAcentral lists this ribosomal RNA (468 nucleotides) under uncultured bacterium. RNAcentral describes it as "partial 16S ribosomal RNA". It matches the Rfam family "Bacterial small subunit ribosomal RNA", at positions 28 to 507 of the family's 1533-position model. The record is from RNAcentral.